Molecule: long non-coding RNA, 925 nt
Filed under: Phaseolus vulgaris (common bean)
Lineage: Eukaryota; Viridiplantae; Streptophyta; Magnoliopsida; Fabales; Fabaceae
Description: long non-coding RNA (PVUL_LNC003470)
Source: RNAcentral
UCCGAUAAAACUUGCGAACUGGAAAUUAAGAGAAGAGAUGAGGAUACAGUGGCUAGAUUAAACAGUACCUUAGGUCACGAACAACACCAAACAACUUUAACAAAUUUCUAGAAACAAAUUCAAAAUAGCAAUGCGCAUAGAUAAACUGCUCAAAUCACCUCCAACUAAAAUUCAAACCACAUACCACCUCCGUACCAGAAAUUGAACCAGAAUUCUUCAACAGUUUGAUUCUCGUGUAGUUUCGUUUUCAAGAACACACCAAAACAGAUAAAGAACGCAGAUGGAAAUGCAGAAACUCACUGUUUUUAUUUUCGUUUGAGAAGACGAAACUAACCAGUCGGUUCACCUAACUCGCCGGAAAACGCCACUUCCGUUCGCCGAUCAACACCGUAAAACUGCCGUUUGCAAAUCAACAACGCAUCGUUUCUAUUGGAUUUUGGCGGAAAACGCACAACCUCCGUUCGCGAUUCUGAACCACUUAAAGUCGUCGUCUCCGAUUAAGGUCGUCGUCUCCGAUUAUGGUCGUCGUCUCCGAUUAAGUUUGUCUUCUUCGAUUAAGUUUCUCCAAGAGAUGAACACAAGAAGAAACGAAUCCAAAUGCACGAAAAUUUUGUUGUGCGUACCUUCAAAAAUCCUUUGCGCACCACAUAUUUCAUUCAGACCAGAGUUCUUCCGAUUCCAACUUCAUGAAUGCUUAGAAGAUGAAGAACAACAACACAAAUCGCAGAGAAAAUUUGAGGAAAAUCUGAAAAUCUAAACCAAAUCUGCUAUUCGUACCUCUGGCUUCAUUGUCCGCACCAAAUAUCCAAUGAGAUCUCCAAACAGGUUCAGAUUAAGAUGCACACCACUGGAAACGCUUUUUGAACCACGAGAAACUUUCGGAAAAUUUUCGAGAAUUUUCGAAAAUGAAUUUUGAGAGAAAAAC